This 253-nucleotide ribosomal RNA is filed under the name uncultured bacterium. RNAcentral describes it as "partial 16S ribosomal RNA". It matches the Rfam family "Bacterial small subunit ribosomal RNA", at positions 524 to 776 of the family's 1533-position model. The record is from RNAcentral.
UACAGAGGGUGCAAGCGUUGUUCGGAAUUACUGGGCGUAAAGGGCGCGUAGGCGGUUUGGUAAGUCAGAUGUGAAAGCCCGGGGCUCAACCCCGGAAGUGCAUUUGAAACUACCAGACUAGAGUGCAGUAGAGGAUGGCGGAAUCCCCAGUGGAGAGGUGAAAUUCGUAGAUAUUGGGAGGAACACCGGUGGCGAAGGCGGCCAUUUGGGCUGUAACUGACGCUGAGGCGCGAAAGCGUGGGUAGCAAACAGG